GGUCCGUUGGUCAAGGGGUUAAGACACCGCCUUUUCACGGCGGCAACACGGGUUCGAAUCCCGUACGGACUA
This 72-nucleotide transfer RNA is filed under the name Streptococcus agalactiae. Its description in RNAcentral is "tRNA-Glu". It matches the Rfam family "tRNA". From Rfam's summary of the family: Transfer RNA (tRNA) molecules are approximately 80 nucleotides in length. Their secondary structure includes four short double-helical elements and three loops (D, anti-codon, and T loops). RNAcentral also lists the same sequence under 1 other name. Lineage: Bacteria; Bacillati; Bacillota; Bacilli; Lactobacillales; Streptococcaceae. The record is from RNAcentral.